Molecule: ribosomal RNA, 437 nt
Filed under: uncultured bacterium
Lineage: Bacteria
Description: bacterial SSU rRNA
Rfam family: Bacterial small subunit ribosomal RNA
Source: RNAcentral
AUGGGAACGCGAAGAACCUUACCUAGACUUGACAUCUUCUGCAUUAAUCGUAAUGGAUGAAAUCCCUUCGGGGACAGAAUGACAGGUGGUGCAUGGUUGUCGUCAGCUCGUGUCGUGGGAUGUUGGGUUAAGUCCCGCAACGAGCGCAACCCCUAUUAUUAGUUGCUAACAUUAAGUUGAGCACUCUAGUGAGACUGCCCGGGUUAACCGGGAGGAAGGCGGGGAUGACGUCAAAUCAUCAUGCCCCUUAUGUCUAGGGCAACACACGUGCUACAAUGGUGAGUACAGAUAGAUGCGAUACCGCAAGGUGGAGCCAAACUCUAAAACUCAUCCCAGUUCGGAUUGUAGGCUGCAAUUCGCCUACAUGAAGUUGGAGUUGCUAGUAAUCGCGAAUCAGAAUGUCGCGGUGAAUACGUUCCCGGGUCUUGUACACACCG